AAUCAUGAAGUAAAAUUUACAACUAAUUUCGACUUAGUAUUAGAAUUUAAUUAUUCCUUGAUUU
Molecule: transfer RNA, 64 nt
Filed under: Paurocephala sauteri
Lineage: Eukaryota; Metazoa; Arthropoda; Insecta; Hemiptera; Liviidae
Description: tRNA-Arg
Source: RNAcentral